AGCGGUGUGGACAAGUCUGGUCGAAGUCGCGUGUCUCAUAAGCACGUCAUCGAGGGGUCGAAUCCCUCCGCCGCAA
This 76-nucleotide transfer RNA is filed under the name Verrucomicrobiia bacterium. Its description in RNAcentral is "tRNA-Met". It matches the Rfam family "tRNA". From Rfam's summary of the family: Transfer RNA (tRNA) molecules are approximately 80 nucleotides in length. Lineage: Bacteria; Pseudomonadati; Verrucomicrobiota; Verrucomicrobiia. The record is from RNAcentral.